UUGACCUCGGAUCAGGUAGGGAUACCCGCUGAACUUAAGCAUAUCAAUAAGCCGGAGGAA
This 60-nucleotide ribosomal RNA is filed under the name Bipolaris maydis (southern corn leaf blight pathogen). RNAcentral describes it as "partial 28S ribosomal RNA". Lineage: Eukaryota; Fungi; Ascomycota; Dothideomycetes; Pleosporales; Pleosporaceae. RNAcentral also lists the same sequence under 7 other names. The record is from RNAcentral.